This 253-nucleotide ribosomal RNA is filed under the name uncultured bacterium. Its description in RNAcentral is "partial 16S ribosomal RNA". It matches the Rfam family "Bacterial small subunit ribosomal RNA", at positions 524 to 776 of the family's 1533-position model. The record is from RNAcentral.
UACGUAGGGUGCAAGCGUUGUCCGGAAUUAUUGGGCGUAAAGAGCUCGUAGGCGGUUUGUCGCGUCUGCUGUGAAAACUCGGGGCUUAACUCCGGGCCUGCAGUGGGUACGGGCAGACUAGAGUGCGGUAGGGGAGACUGGAAUUCCUGGUGUAGCGGUGAAAUGCGCAGAUAUCAGGAGGAACACCGGUGGCGAAGGCGGUUCUCUGGGCCUGUACUGACGCUGAGGAGCGAAAGCGUGGGGAGCAAACAGG